GCGACCCCGUGGCGGCGCAGGUGUAGCCGGCGGGGGUCCGGGGGCGGGCUGGCAGUGCUGCCGCCUCCGCCACCCUCACUGAGGCUGGGCCGGAGGGGGGAAGCCGCGGCGGGGCUACGGUCCGCAGCGCUGAGGCACUACUGUUCGCAUCUCCUUGUGACCGCUGGUCCUGCACCCUUGACCCUCUGGGCAAGCUAGUGCCACGUUGGCUGCACAGAGAAGUGACCGAAGCACAGCCACACAGCCCCGGAAGCCAGUUUCAUUCCUACUCAGUGAAAGGCUGGAAGCUUUGCCACGAACUUCUAGAGUGAGACAGCAGUGAUGGUGAUCGAGACUGCCUCUCACAGAGUUCUCCCUUUCCUAACUCUCCAGUU
Molecule: long non-coding RNA, 374 nt
Organism: Camelus dromedarius (Arabian camel)
Lineage: Eukaryota; Metazoa; Chordata; Mammalia; Artiodactyla; Camelidae
Exons: 3
Source: RefSeq, a predicted model, not a curated record